RNAcentral lists this transfer RNA (64 nucleotides) under Asphaera sp. REN-2018. Its description in RNAcentral is "tRNA-His". Lineage: Eukaryota; Metazoa; Arthropoda; Insecta; Coleoptera; Chrysomelidae. The record is from RNAcentral.
AUUUAAAUAGUUUAAUUAUAAAAUAUUGAUUUGUGGUAUCAAAGAUAGUUAUUACUUUUAAAUU